Molecule: ribosomal RNA, 478 nt
Filed under: uncultured bacterium
Lineage: Bacteria
Description: partial 16S ribosomal RNA
Rfam family: Bacterial small subunit ribosomal RNA
Source: RNAcentral
GACGAACGCUGGCGGCGUGCUUAACACAUGCAAGUCGAACGGUAAGGCCCUUCGGGGUACACGAGUGGCGAACGGGUGAGUAACACGUGGGUGAUCUGCCCUGCACUUCGGGAUAAGCCUGGGAAACUGGGUCUAAUACCGGAUAGGACCACUGCCUGCAUGGGGGGUGGUGGAAAGCUUUUGUGGUGUGGGAUGGGCCCGCGGCCUAUCAGCUUGUUGGUGGGGUGAUGGCCUACCAAGGCGACGACGGGUAGCCGGCCUGAGAGGGUGACCGGCCACACUGGGACUGAGAUACGGCCCAGACUCCUACGGGAGGCAGCAGUGGGGAAUAUUGCACAAUGGGCGCAAGCCUGAUGCAGCGACGCCGCGUGAGGGAUGACGGCCUUCGGGUUGUAAACCUCUUUCAGCACCGACGAAGCGCAAGUGACGGUAGGUGCAGAAGAAGGACCGGCCAACUACGUGCCAGCCGCCGCGGUAA